AGAGCGAACGCUGGCGGCAGGCCUAAAACAUGCAAGUCGAACGGACCCUUCGGGGUUAGUGGCGGACGGGUGAGUAACACGUGGGAACGUGCCUUUUGGUUCAGAACAACUCAGGGAAACUUGAGCUAAUACUGAAUAAGCCCUACGGGGGAAAGAUUUAUCGCCAUUAGAGCGGCCCGCGUUGGAUUAGCUAGUUGGUGAGGUAAAGGCUCACCAAGGCUACGAUCCAUAGCUGGUCUGAGAGGAUGAUCAGCCACACUGGGACUGAGACACGGCCCAGACUCCUACGGGAGGCAGCAGUUAGGAAUCUUGCGCAAUGGGCAAAGCCUGACGCAGCCAUGCCGCGUGAAUGAUGAAGGUCUUAGGAUUGUAAAAUUCUUCAGUGGGAAGAUAAUGACUGUACCCACAGAAGAAGCUCCGGCUAACUUCGUGCCAGCAGCCGC
RNAcentral lists this ribosomal RNA (443 nucleotides) under uncultured bacterium. Its description in RNAcentral is "SSU rRNA". It matches the Rfam family "Bacterial small subunit ribosomal RNA", at positions 26 to 518 of the family's 1533-position model. The record is from RNAcentral.